Molecule: ribosomal RNA, 1431 nt
Filed under: Staphylococcus aureus
Lineage: Bacteria; Bacillati; Bacillota; Bacilli; Caryophanales; Staphylococcaceae
Description: partial 23S ribosomal RNA
Rfam family: Bacterial large subunit ribosomal RNA
Source: RNAcentral
CAUGAGUUAUGUCAUGUUAUCGAUAUGUGAAUACAUAGCAUAUCAGAAGGCACACCCGGAGAACUGAAACAUCUUAGUACCCGGAGGAAGAGAAAGAAAAUUCGAUUCCCUUAGUAGCGGCGAGCGAAACGGGAAGAGCCCAAACCAACAAGCUUGCUUGUUGGGGUUGUAGGACACUCUAUACGGAGUUACAAAGGACGACAUUAGACGAAUCAUCUGGAAAGAUGAAUCAAAGAAGGUAAUAAUCCUGUAGUCGAAAAUGUUGUCUCUCUUGAGUGGAUCCUGAGUACGACGGAGCACGUGAAAUUCCGUCGGAAUCUGGGAGGACCAUCUCCUAAGGCUAAAUACUCUCUAGUGACCGAUAGUGAACCAGUACCGUGAGGGAAAGGUGAAAAGCACCCCGGAAGGGGAGUGAAAUAGAACCUGAAACCGUGUGCUUACAAGUAGUCAGAGCCCGUUAAUGGGUGAUGGCGUGCCUUUUGUAGAAUGAACCGGCGAGUUACGAUUUGAUGCAAGGUUAAGCAGUAAAUGUGGAGCCGUAGCGAAAGCGAGUCUGAAUAGGGCGUUUAGUAUUUGGUCGUAGACCCGAAACCAGGUGAUCUACCCUUGGUCAGGUUGAAGUUCAGGUAACACUGAAUGGAGGACCGAACCGACUUACGUUGAAAAGUGAGCGGAUGAACUGAGGGUAGCGGAGAAAUUCCAAUCGAACCUGGAGAUAGCUGGUUCUCUCCGAAAUAGCUUUAGGGCUAGCCUCAAGUGAUGAUUAUUGGAGGUAGAGCACUGUUUGGACGAGGGGCCCCUCUCGGGUUACCGAAUUCAGACAAACUCCGAAUGCCAAUUAAUUUAACUUGGGAGUCAGAACAUGGGUGAUAAGGUCCGUGUUCGAAAGGGAAACAGCCCAGACCACCAGCUAAGGUCCCAAAAUAUAUGUUAAGUGGAAAAGGAUGUGGCGUUGCCCAGACAACUAGGAUGUUGGCUUAGAAGCAGCCAUCAUUUAAAGAGUGCGUAAUAGCUCACUAGUCGAGUGACACUGCGCCGAAAAUGUACCGGGGCUAAACAUAUUACCGAAGCUGUGGAUUGUCCUUUGGACAAUGGUAGGAGAGCGUUCUAAGGGCGUUGAAGCAUGAUCGUAAGGACAUGUGGAGCGCUUAGAAGUGAGAAUGCCGGUGUGAGUAGCGAAAGACGGGUGAGAAUCCCGUCCACCGAUUGACUAAGGUUUCCAGAGGAAGGCUCGUCCGCUCUGGGUUAGUCGGGUCCUAAGCUGAGGCCGACAGGCGUAGGCGAUGGAUAACAGGUUGAUAUUCCUGUACCACCUAUAAUCGUUUUAAUCGAUGGGGGGACGCAGUAGGAUAGGCGAAGCGUGCGAUUGGAUUGCACGUCUAAGCAGUAAGGCUGAGUAUUAGGCAAAUCCGGUACUCGUUAAGGCUGAGC